CACAUUAGUGUUGUGUUGACGUUGUUCCCUCCAUUUUCGCCUCCGGCAGUGGCAAUUUACUUGUCGACUUCACGGGUUGUGCUCCAAA
Neltuma alba is the source of this 88-nucleotide long non-coding RNA. RefSeq lists it as uncharacterized. Lineage: Eukaryota; Viridiplantae; Streptophyta; Magnoliopsida; Fabales; Fabaceae. The record is from RefSeq and is a predicted model, not a curated record. The transcript is spliced from 3 exons.